GGGUUCUGAUGCCAGAUGGUUCUGGCGCCGGUCUGUAAAACCGGUCCUUCGGGGAAGCGGUUCGAUUCCGACCUGGACCCACCA
RNAcentral lists this transfer RNA (84 nucleotides) under Acidobacteriota bacterium. RNAcentral's name for it is "Acidobacteria bacterium (wastewater metagenome) tRNA-Tyr". It matches the Rfam family "tRNA". From Rfam's summary of the family: Transfer RNA (tRNA) molecules are approximately 80 nucleotides in length. Their secondary structure includes four short double-helical elements and three loops (D, anti-codon, and T loops). Lineage: Bacteria; Pseudomonadati; Acidobacteriota. The record is from RNAcentral.